Molecule: small nucleolar RNA, 138 nt
Filed under: Myripristis murdjan (pinecone soldierfish)
Lineage: Eukaryota; Metazoa; Chordata; Actinopteri; Holocentriformes; Holocentridae
Description: Small nucleolar RNA SNORA57 (ENSMMDG00005003055.1)
Rfam family: Small nucleolar RNA SNORA57
About the family: U99 belongs to the H/ACA class of snoRNAs which are thought to guide the sites of modification of uridines to pseudouridines, the target for this family is unknown.
Source: Rfam by way of RNAcentral
CCUCCAUUUCUUGGCAUACAUGUUGUUGCUCAGUACUCAUGUGUGUAAUGUACGGAGGUAGAGCAAAGCCUGCGCUAUGUCUUCGGUACCGGUGUGUGUUAUCGUCUGCCGGUCCUAUCCUCAAUCGCUGGCACACUC